AGAGUUUGAUCAUGGCUCAGAACGAACGCUGGCGGCGUGCUUAACACAUGCAAGUCGAGUGCGCGCCUGUAGCAAUACAGGUGGCGCACGGCGCACGGGUGCGUAACACGUGGGUAAUCUGCCCUCUGAUGGGGAAUAACUCGCCGAAAGGCGAGCUAAUUCCGCAUAACAUUCCGGGAACCUUGGUUCCUGGACUCAAAGGCGUAAGUCGUCGGAGGAGGAGCCCGCGCACGAUUAGCUAGUUGGUGAGGUAAUGGCUCACCAAGGCUAUGAUCGUUAGCUGGUCUGAGAGGAUGGCCAGCCACACUGGAACUGAGACACGGUCCAGACUCCUACGGGAGGCAGCAGUGGGGAUCUUGCACAAUGGGCGAAAGCCUGAUGCAGCGACGCCGCGUGGGGGAUGAAGCUUCUCGGGAGUGUAAACCCCUUUCGACCCCGGACGAAUACCUCGCAAGAGGGGUGACGGUACGGGUAUAAGAAGCCCCGGCUAACUACGUGCCAGCAGCCGCGGUAAGACGUAGGGGGCCAGCGUUGUUCGGAAUUACUGGGUGUAAAGGGUUCGUAGGCGGUGUGGCAAGUCGGGAGUGAAAUCUCUGGGCUCAACCCAGAGUCUGCUUCCGAAACUGCUGUGCUUGAGUGUGGGAGAGGCGCGUGGAAUUGCAGGUGUAGCGGUGAAAUGCGUAGAUAUCUGCAGGAACACCCGUGGCGAAAGCGGCGCGCUGGACCACUACUGACGCUGAGGAACGAAAGCUAGGGGAGCAAACAGGAUUAGAUACCCUAGUAGUCC
Molecule: ribosomal RNA, 787 nt
Filed under: uncultured bacterium
Lineage: Bacteria
Description: bacterial SSU rRNA
Rfam family: Bacterial small subunit ribosomal RNA
Source: RNAcentral